Long non-coding RNA from Engraulis encrasicolus (European anchovy), 500 nucleotides. RefSeq lists it as uncharacterized. The transcript is spliced from 3 exons. The record is from RefSeq and is a predicted model, not a curated record. Lineage: Eukaryota; Metazoa; Chordata; Actinopteri; Clupeiformes; Engraulidae.
CAGAUAUUUUGGCUUUGUUUUGGCAGAUAUCUGCAAUUUAUGGCUUCCUUUUGGCAAGCCAUAAGCUUUUGGCAAAAUUUUGGCAUGGUUAUGGUUGACCUGGGCGCCAGUGAAUUGGGGCGUUCCUCUGGAAAGCAAAAAAAAACAAAGAUUUGGCUAAAAUAUGGGUUGUUUAUGGCUUCCCACAACACAUUAAAACGCGCGGACUGUGAAUGAAUGAGUUAUGGCCAGGUUAUGGCAUGUGUCAGGUUAAUCUGAACCUCAGGUGGAGAGCGGGACAGCAACGUUCUACAUUGGUGCGCUUACGGCAACCCAAAAGACUGCCAAAAUCAACUGUCAAGAGAAAAACUCGUGCUUGCCUCACUUCAGUUUCCCCAGCGCCAGUGUGUGUCAGACUUCAGUUUAUGCAGAUGUGCUGCUGCUGAAGUCACCCGGUGGAGGAACUUGUUUUUUGACAGGCAUACUACAGAUGCUGUGCUGCGAACGGACACUGCAGUCAA